Molecule: ribosomal RNA, 253 nt
Filed under: uncultured bacterium
Lineage: Bacteria
Description: partial 16S ribosomal RNA
Rfam family: Bacterial small subunit ribosomal RNA
Source: RNAcentral
GACGGAGGCUGCAAGCGUUAUCCGGAAUUAUUGGGCGUAAAGCGUCCGCAGGUGGCUGUUCAAGUCUGCUGUCAAAGCGCAGAGCUUAACUCUGUACAGGCGGUGGAAACUGAAGAGCUAGAGCAUGGUAGGGGUAGAGGGAAUUCCCGGUGUAGCGGUGAAAUGCGUAGAUAUCGGGAAGAACACCAGUGGCGAAGGCGGCACUCUGGGCCAGUACCGACACUGAGGAGCGAAAGCGUGGGGAGCGAACAGG